This 2386-nucleotide ribosomal RNA is filed under the name Clostridioides difficile. RNAcentral describes it as "23S ribosomal RNA". It matches the Rfam family "Bacterial large subunit ribosomal RNA", at positions 515 to 2925 of the family's 2925-position model. Lineage: Bacteria; Bacillati; Bacillota; Clostridia; Peptostreptococcales; Peptostreptococcaceae. The record is from RNAcentral.
AGAAGUUAAGCUCUCUAGCGCUGAUGGUACUUNUGAAACCCUGCACUUACAAGCUGUGGAAGCACAUUUCUUGUGUGACCGCGUACUUUUUGUAGAACGGGCCAACGAGUUACGUUAAGUAGCAAGGUUAAGCACUUAAGGUGCGGAGCCGUAGCGAAAGCGAGUUUUAACUGAGCGUUCAGUUACUUGACGUAGACCCGAAACCGGGCGACCUACCCAUGAGCAGGAUGAAGCGAAAGUAAAAUUUCGUGGAGGUCCGAACCCACGAGCGUUGAAAAGCUCGGGGAUGACUUGUGGGUAGCGGUGAAAUUCCAAUCGAGCCCGGAGAUAGCUGGUUCUCCCCGAAAUAGCUUUAGGGCUAGCCUCAAGGUGAGAGAUACGGAGGUAGAGCACUGAAUGUCCUAGGGGGUAUUGCACCUACCGAAGACUAUCAAACUCCGAAUGCCGUCAUCUUAUACUUGGGAGUCAGACUGUGGGUGAUAAGAUUCAUAGUCGAAAGGGCAACAGCCCAGAUCGUCAGCUAAGGUCCCUAAAUGUAAGUUAAGUGGUAAAGGAUGUGGGAUUGCACAGACAACCAGGAUGUUGGCUUAGAAGCAGCCACUCAUUCAAAGAGUGCGUAAUAGCUCACUGGUCGAGUGAUCCUGCGCCGAAGAUUUCCGGGGCUAAAACUUACUACCGAAGCUACGGCAUCAGUAAUGAUGGGUAGGGGAGCUUCCCAUACGGGUUGAAGCAUGACCGUAAGGACAUGUGGACAGUAUGGGAGUGAGAAUGUUGGCAUGAGUAGCGAGAUGUGGGUGAGAAUCCCACAGGCCGUAAACCCAAGGUUUCCAGGGGAAGGUUCGUCCGCCCUGGGUUAGUCGGGACCUAAGCUGAGGCCGAAAGGCGUAGGUGAUGGACAACAGGUUGAUAUUCCUGUACUACCGAUAACCGUUUGAGAGAAGGGAUGACACAGUAGGAUAAGCUAAGCACACUGUUGGUUAUGUGUGCCCAAGCAUUGAGGCAGUCAAAGUAGGCAAAUCCGCUUUGAUAAUGCUGGGAUGUGAUGGGGAGCGAAAUUUAGUAGCGAAGUAGCUGAUUUCACACUGUCAAGAAAAGUCUCUAUCGAGGUUAAAGGUACCCGUACCGCAAACCGACACAGGUGGGUGAGGAGAGUAUCCUAAGGCCAGCGAGAGAACUGUUGUUAAGGAACUCGGCAAAAUGACCCCGUAACUUAGGGAUAAGGGGUGCCACCAUCAGGUGGCCGCAGAGAAUAGGCCCAAGCGACUGUUUACCAAAAACAUAGGUUUCUGCUAAGUCGCAAGACGAUGUAUAGGAGCUGACGCCUGCCCGGUGCUGGAAGGUUAAGGGGAUCUGUUAGAGCAAUCGAAGCAGUGAACUUAAGCCCCAGUAAACGGCGGCCGUAACUAUAACGGUCCUAAGGUAGCGAAAUUCCUUGUCGGGUAAGUUCCGACCCGCACGAAAGGCGUAACGAUUUGGGCACUGUCUCAACAACAGACUCGGUGAAAUUGUAAUUCCGGUGAAGAUGCCGGAUACCUGCGACAGGACGGAAAGACCCCAUGGAGCUUUACUGUAGCUUGACAUUGGGUCUUGGUACUACAUGUACAGGAUAGGUGGGAGGCUUUGAAACCAGGACGCCAGUUUUGGCGGAGCCAUCCUUGGGAUACCACCCUUGUAGUACUGGGACUCUAACCAUAGGCCAUGAAUCUGGUCUUGGGACACUGUCAGGUGGGCAGUUUGACUGGGGCGGUCGCCUCCCAAAAGGUAACGGAGGCGCUCAAAGGUUCUCUCAGUACGGUCGGAAAUCGUACGUAGAGUGUAAAGGCAAAAGAGAGCUUGAUUGCAAGACAUACAGGUCGAGCAAGGAUGAAAAUCGGACUUAGUGAUCCGGUGGUUCUGCGUGGAAGGGCCAUCGCUCAACGGAUAAAAGCUACCCUGGGGAUAACAGGCUUAUCUCCCCCAAGAGUCCACAUCGACGGGGAGGUUUGGCACCUCGAUGUCGGCUCAUCACAUCCUGGGGCUGUAGUAGGUCCCAAGGGUUGGGCUGUUCGCCCAUUAAAGUGGUACGCGAGCUGGGUUCAGAACGUCGUGAGACAGUUCGGUCCCUAUCCGUCGCAGGCGUAGGAAAUUUGAGAAGACCUGUCCUUAGUACGAGAGGACCGGGAUGGACGUACCUCUGGUGUACCAGUUGUCCUGCCAAGGGCAUGGCUGGGUAGCUAUGUACGGAAUGGAUAAGCGCUGAAAGCAUCUAAGCGCGAAGCCAACUUCAAGAUAAGAUUUCCCACCGCAAGGGUAAGACCCCAGAAAGACUAUCUGGUUGAUAGGUCGAAGGUGUAAGUGCAGCAAUGUAUUUAGCUUAUCGAUACUAAUAGGUCGAGGACUUGACCAA